Molecule: ribosomal RNA, 253 nt
Filed under: uncultured bacterium
Lineage: Bacteria
Description: partial 16S ribosomal RNA
Rfam family: Bacterial small subunit ribosomal RNA
Source: RNAcentral
UACGAAGGGGGCGAGCGUUGUUCGGAUUUACUGGGCGUAAAGAGCGCGCAGGCGGUCGUUCAAGUCGAGUGUGAAAGCCCCCGGCUCAACUGGGGAGGGUCACUCGAUACUGAUCGACUCGAAGGCAGAAGAGGGAAGCGGAAUUCCCGGUGUAGUGGUGAAAUGCGUAGAUAUCGGGAGGAACACCAGUGGCGAAGGCGGCUUUCUGGUCUGCUCUUGACGCUGAGGCGCGAAAGCUAGGGUAGCAAACGGG